Molecule: long non-coding RNA, 763 nt
Organism: Danio aesculapii
Lineage: Eukaryota; Metazoa; Chordata; Actinopteri; Cypriniformes; Danionidae
Exons: 3
Source: RefSeq, a predicted model, not a curated record
UGAGCAUCUGGGACAGUGUCACAGGAGAGGAUCCUCUUUGAUGAAAGCAAUUAUUCUAGUGGUCCAGCUGAAUGACGGAAGAUAAGCUUGAACACAGAGAGCAAACAAGGCUGUGGCUCUUUUGGCCACAUCUUCUGCCUGCAGUCCUUCAGAGUACGAGAGUCUGCCUGUGGCAUCGGAGACGCAUCUGAUCUUCCCAAGUUGUUUCCUUUGCUUUGAUGAAACCAACACUGCUUGAAAAUCAAUGGAGUGGCUGCGGAGAGCGAGAGGUCAGAUUAAUGAACAUACUGUCACUCAGAGGUUAAGCACAAUUCUGAAGUCCUCCAUGUGCAAAUCAAGGCAAAGGCAGGUGUGUCACGUAUUGGCCAGGCUCUUCCACCAGUAUCACGCAACGAGCAUCCUCACCUGAGUACUAACCACGCACAGCUGCACCCAAUCACUCAAACACACUAUAUAAGCACACACCUCACCUCACUCAUUGUCCAGUCUCAUUCCCACGAAGCGGACUCAUAGCGAGUACCUCCUGGUAGUCACUAUCAUUAUAUAUCAUCGUCUGAACUUACCUGAUCUCUGUUUCCUUCCAGUCUGUCCAGUGUUCCCGGUGUCCUGUCAGAGUUGUGUGUAUCGUCAGUCUGUCUUCCCCGCAAGCCCUCUGGUGUGUGCAUUCGGUCUUCCUCAGUGUCUGUCAUCCCACCUGCCACAUAGAAGAAUCAUCAGCUCAACCGAACUCCAUUCACUUCCCCAUCGUUAUCCUUUUGUGCUC